UCUAGUGACGAUAGCGAAGAGGUCACACCCGUUCCCAUCCCGAACACGGUAGUUAAGCUCUUCAGCGCCGAGGGUAGUUGGGGGUUUCCCCCUGCAAGAGUAGGACGUUGCUGGUC
Molecule: ribosomal RNA, 116 nt
Organism: Ursus thibetanus thibetanus
Lineage: Eukaryota; Metazoa; Chordata; Mammalia; Carnivora; Ursidae
Source: Ensembl